GGCAGCAGCUAAGAAUAUUCCGCAAUGGACGAAAGUCUGACGGAGCGACGCCGCGUGGAUGAUGAAGGCCGGAAGGUUGUAAAAUCCUUUUAUGACUGAGGAAUAAGUUCUCUGAGAGAAACGGAGGAUGGUGACUGUAGGUCAUGAAUAAGCAACGGCUAAUUACGUGCCAGCAGCCGCGGUAACACGUAAGUUGCGAGCGUUGUUCGGAAUUAUUGGGCGUAAAGGGUAUGUAGGCGGUUCUGCAAGUCUGGUGUGAAAUACCGGGGCUCAACCCCGGGACUGCGUUGGAAACUGCAGGACUUGAAUCGCUGAGGGGCAGCCAGAAUUCCAGGUGUAGGGGUGAAAUCUGUAGAUAUCUGGAAGAAUACCAAUGGCGAAGGCAGGCUGCCAGCAGAUGAUUGACGCUGAGGUACGAAGGUGCGGGGAGCAAACAGGAUUAGAUACCCUGGUAGUCCGCACAGUCAACUAUGUACACUGGGUGUCCGCACAUGAGUGUGGGUGCCGAAGCAAACGCGAUAAGUGUACCGCCUGGGGAGUAUGCCCGCAAGGGUGAAACUCAAAGGAAUUGACGG
RNAcentral lists this ribosomal RNA (575 nucleotides) under uncultured rumen bacterium. RNAcentral's name for it is "bacterial SSU rRNA". It matches the Rfam family "Bacterial small subunit ribosomal RNA", at positions 347 to 916 of the family's 1533-position model. The record is from RNAcentral.